CAAUAGCGUAUAUUUAAGUUGUUGCAGUUAAAAGCUCGUAGUUGGAUUUCGGUUGAGAACGGCCGGUCCGCCGUUUGGUGUGCACUGGCUGGUCUCAACUUCCUGUAGAGGACGCGCUCUGGGUUAACGCUCGGACGCGGAGUCUACGUGGUUACUUUGAAAAAUUAGAGUGUUCAAAGCGGGCUUACGCUUGAAUAUUUCAGCAUGGAAUAACACUAUAGGACUCCUGUCCUAUUUCGUUGGUCUCGGGACGGGAGUAAUGAUUAAGAGGAACAGUUGGGGGUAGUUCGUAUUUAAUUGUCAGAGGUGAAAUUACUUGGAUUUAUUGAAAGAACGAACUUCUGCGAAAGACAUUUACCUAAGGAUGUUUUCUAUUAAUUCAAGAACGAAAGUU
Molecule: ribosomal RNA, 394 nt
Filed under: uncultured eukaryote
Lineage: Eukaryota
Description: SSU rRNA
Rfam family: Eukaryotic small subunit ribosomal RNA
Source: RNAcentral